GACGUAGGGGGCGAGCGUUGUCCGGAUUUAUUGGGCGUAAAGAGCGUGUAGGCGGCCAGGUAGGUCUGCUGUGAAAACUCGAGGCUCAACCUCGAGACGUCGGCGGAAACCAUCUGGCUAGAGUCCGGAAGAGGAGAGUGGAAUUCCUGGUGUAGCGGUGAAAUGCGCAGAUAUCAGGAGGAACACCAAUAGCGAAGGCAGCUCGCUGGGACGGUACUGACGCUAAGGCGCGAAAGCGUGGGGAGCGAACAGG
This 253-nucleotide ribosomal RNA is filed under the name uncultured bacterium. Its description in RNAcentral is "partial 16S ribosomal RNA". It matches the Rfam family "Bacterial small subunit ribosomal RNA", at positions 524 to 776 of the family's 1533-position model. The record is from RNAcentral.